CAGCCGCCGCGGUAAUACCAGCCCCGCGAGUGGUCGGGACGGUUAUUGGGCCUAAAGCGCCCGUAGCCGGCCCGGCAAGUCCCUCCUUAAAGCCUCGGGCCCAACCCGAGGACGGGGGGGAUACUGCCGGGCUAGGGGGCGGGAGAGGCCGGCGGUACUCCCGGGGGCGGGGCGAAAUCCGUUAAUCCCGGGAGGACCACCAGUGGCGAAGGCGGCCGGCUGGAACGCGCCCGACGGUGAGGGGCGAAAGCCGGGGGAGCGAACCGGAUUAGAUACCCGGGUAGUCCCGGCUGUAAACGAUGCGGGCUAGCUGUUGGGCGGGCUUAGAGCCCGCCCAGUGGCGCAGGGAAGCCGUUAAGUCCGCCGCCUGGGGAGUACGGCCGCAAGGCUGAAACUUAAAGGAAUUGGCGGG
RNAcentral lists this ribosomal RNA (412 nucleotides) under uncultured microorganism. RNAcentral describes it as "bacterial SSU rRNA". It matches the Rfam family "Archaeal small subunit ribosomal RNA", at positions 459 to 872 of the family's 1478-position model. The record is from RNAcentral.